CCAGCCAUCUGCUGCUCGGUCCAAGUCCAUCCAUUAGCCAGCUGACUUACAGAUAAGUCUGCACAACAUUCUGCCCUACGUGUCUGCUGUACCUGAAAACCUGGGAAAAUUUCCACAACAGUUUGGCGUCGCGAAUGGGAUCUGGCGAGUUGGAGAGGGCGACGAGAGAUCGAAUGCAUUGGCCAACCUGAGGAGUUUGUCUUCAGUUCACCUAAAAUUGGACGAGGGGAGUCCGAGGUCUCGUCCUUGCGACUGCCGACUGGCUGGAUCCAUAAGAACCUUAAUAGCUUUAUCAGGUGAGGACUGUUUCAAUUUGGUUGUUUUUUUUGUUUUUGUUUUUUCUUUUCAUAUCUGCUGGGACAGGCUGGGACUGCUGGUGAACUAAAAUUAACUAUCUAAAAGGUAGAUAGUGGGUAUUUUUAAAUCUUUUUUUUCACUUUUAAGUAAAGAAAGUAACUAUCUAAAAGGUAGAUAGUGGGUAUUUUUAAUCUUUUUUCACCUCCAAGAGAGAAAGUAAAGAAAGUAUCGGAAGGUAGUGGCGUUUUUAUUCUUUUUUCUCGCCUAAAGAAACAAAGUAACUAUCCAAGGGAAGAUAGUGGGUGGUUUUUAGCAUUGCUACACCUUCAAGGAAAGAAAAGCCUUGAAGCUGUUUUUCAAGAGUGAGAGACAUCUCACUGUAAAAAAAAAAAAAAGGGUUCUGGAACCUCACAGAAAAGUUCGGAGCGGUUUGAUCCUGGGCCUAGCUGUUAUAUUUCUGACCUAACGACAAAAAAAUAAAUCAAAUGAAAUUAAUGUGUUCAAAAUGAAACAAAAUAAUGACUUUCCUUAAGGGGGAAGCUUAGGUUUAAAUCAAUUGAAACAGAUGCAAACACAACUUGAUGAAAAAUGGAGAGAAACAAAAAAAAGCAGAGAAAAUAAAAAUUAAAGCACUAGAGGAUAAAGAAAAACAUGGCAAAUGUAUGGCUGUGUGGAUGAAAGAAGCUCUUUCAGACAGCGAAAGGCAACUUUUAGGAGUUUGGCAGGGGGAAAAGAUUUGAGCAGGGCAGUAGUGUUCCACACUGACAAUGUGGGUGCCCUUUUCUCUCUUUAAGACAAAAGGAUACUUCACCCCCUUUUUCUACUUCCCAGGUGAAGAUCCAGGCUCUCCAGGCAGAUCUGGAUUUGGACUCCCAUCCCCCGGUCCGGAGAGCCACUCCAGCAGGCCCACAAGACCCUGGAAAGACAACACUGCCUCCUCCCCUGGAGAGAAGCAGCAAAGCUUCAUCAUAAGCCCGAUUCAAGACCGCCCUGCAGUCUACGUCCACUCCCAGCAGAGAGCAGAAACAUGGAUGCCCCUUGUAGGCCCUCUCUCUGCCCACACCAGAUCCAAAACACAUGAAGGGGGCGUGGCGGCUGAGGGUGCACGACGACUCCAUCCACUUACAUUUGCCCUAUGAUGGAAGUGGCAGGCACCAGAGCAGGAGCAAUGUUAAUUCAACGCCCCUGGACUGGUGCUGACAUCACAUCAGCAGCCUCCCUCCUUCCUGAACCGAGGGAAGAUGGUGUCAAGUUUGCCAUAGAACUGAAGGCCCUGUGCAAUGAAAUGCGUCCCACUGUGCUGAAAUAUGACGCAUGGCUGCAAAAAUCAAACCCAGUGAUCUUUCCUGCCUGACUGAAUAUCUCCCUGCCUCUGAUGUCCGUCUCAGAAAUGUGGAAUGCAGAAAUGAGAGUUCCAGCGUUGACCCCAACGCCCCUUAUAAUCUGUCCAUAGAGGUGCUACAAAAACAGUUUCCACAGUUCACUAAUAACACCAUCCUGCAGACAAUAAAGCAACGCCCUGAUGAAGCAGCUGAAGAUUUCCUUCACUGCAUGGAAGAAGCAUUUAACAAAUACUCUGGGUUUGGCCCAGCCUCCUCAUUCUCUACCAAACCCUGCGGCUGGACUCCUGCCUGAGGUUGCAGCUCAAACCAAAGCUUCAUAUGUGGGUUGGCGGUUUGGCGUGAGGCUGGCUGAUCUAAAACAAAACAGUUUUGCCUCACCCUUUGUUAAAGGAAAAUUUCCACAACAACGUCUUGCACAUUUCACUCAUAUUCAUCAGUUGAAUAUGAGUCGGUGAUUAAACCCAAUUGCUUGUGUACAUUUUCCUUCCACUCAGCUUUCCAUCAAAAAUCGUCUGAAAAGCUAUCCUCAGAAAAGCUAACAGAGAAGACCGGUAGCUUCUAAUGGAUGUAAACAUGAAAAUAUGAAAUAGUGUGAACGUUCAAAUGGAUUUAAUUCACAGUGGUUCUCAAAAAUAUAUGCAACAGCGGUUAUAGGUCAAGUUUGGAAGAAAAAUUUGAAAACCUUUUCUGCUUAUGUGACUUGCAUCUUAACUCGAGACAGUAAGGGCGUGUUUUUGUUUAUGAUACAAAAACUGAAGAUACAAUGAGACAAAGUUUUGAAUGAUAUUACACUUGCGCUAAAUUUCAGAAAAAAUAAACCAGUUUGUUGCAGGUGGAUUUCAUGUGAGCACACGAGAAAAGUGAUAGUCAUUGUCACGCCUUUUGAAACUGAUAUAAUUGUGGUAGGUAGGGUUUCCUGACCUCAAUAAAUAUGCGGCUGUUAGUGCAUGAUGGAGCACCGUUUGAAAGAAGCACCCCACACUCUGCAUGGCAGCCUCUUGGCAGUCGUUCCCAUAGCAACUCCAGUAGGUCAACCAAUGGGAAGAGGGGGCUGGGCAGGAAGGAGGAUAGGAAGAUGGGGACGGGAACGGUGGGCGGAAGAAAAAGGGGGUGACGGAAUGGGGGUGGGGUUCUUAACACAGAAUGCAAUAGGAGUCGAGCCGGUGCAGAAAAGCACUCAUACAAAAACCCACUGACUCCAAAUCACGUGGUGACACACACAUUCAAAUGUGCUAACAAUAAAUCCACCUGCUUUUGUCUGUGUAAACACGUAAAACAAUCACUCUUGAGACUCAGAGUGAAAAAAACAAAAAACAAAGCCAACAAAAAAAAUAAAUAAAUAAACAUAAAAUAAACUAGACUGAUAAAAAAGAAGGAUCAAUACAGUUUUCGUUUUCUUAACUCCAAUUUGACUUCUAGCGUUCAUAUCAGAUUUUAUCGAUUUCACUGUCUGUCACCACUUUGUUUCUCUUUCUGUGAGUAUUUCUUUUUCUUACUUAACAUCUCAGUCCUAGGCAUUCCUCUUAACACAUUAUUGUAUCAGUCUUCCCUCUUAUGGAUAACUUGACAGCAAAUAUGUUUUUGAUUCAGUGAUCAAACACAACUGAUACUCUAGACAUAAACAGGGAAAAUAGAUUUCUUUUGCAGGACAUAUGAAUCUGGAUUAUGUUAUUACCUCACUGAUGGGAUUUUUUUAGCUUUUGAACAAUAAUUUUAGUGUCUUUUGAAAGAGUCAUUAAAAAGUCACAUGGCUCUGAGUGAGGAAUAUAGCAAGCAUGUGUUUCCUUAUUGUAAGAAACUCAACUGUUGCUCAAAGAAUAAAGCAGAAAGUCUCAAAUCGUAUUAAAUUCCAGUUUGUGAGCAGGAAAACAAAAUUAGAUUAUGAAUCACAAGAUGAGUGCCGAGA
Poecilia reticulata (guppy) is the source of this 3546-nucleotide non-coding RNA. NCBI's taxonomy places the organism in Eukaryota, Metazoa, Chordata, Actinopteri, Cyprinodontiformes, Poeciliidae. The record is from RefSeq and is a predicted model, not a curated record.